Sporothrix brasiliensis 5110 is the source of this 225-nucleotide non-coding RNA. NCBI's taxonomy places the organism in Eukaryota, Fungi, Ascomycota, Sordariomycetes, Ophiostomatales, Ophiostomataceae. The record is from the annotation of a RefSeq genome assembly.
UUCUUUUUAAUUUAUCUUUUAAAUAUUUAUCUAAUAUACCUUUAUGAAUAUAAAAAAAUUUUAUAAUUUUUUUUAAAGGUCUUUUUAAUAGUUUUAAUUUUUUUAGUAAAACAAUUUUUUCUCUAUUAAAAACAUAUAUAGUAAUGAUAACUUUAGAACUAGUGUGUUUUAGUUCAGCUUUACUAAUAAAUAUUUUAUUAAAUGAUGAAUAUUUUUUAAUAGAAA